GUCUAGCUGACGAGUCCUAAACAGGACGAAACGAGCUUGCUGCAU
Schistosoma mattheei is the source of this 45-nucleotide non-coding RNA. Lineage: Eukaryota; Metazoa; Platyhelminthes; Trematoda; Strigeidida; Schistosomatidae. The record is from Rfam.